GAUGAACGCUGGCGGCGUGCCUAAUACAUGCAAGUCGAGCGAAUGGAUUAAGAGCUUGCUCUUAUGAAGUUAGCGGCGGACGGGUGAGUAACACGUGGGUAACCUGCCCAUAAGACUGGGAUAACUCCGGGAAACCGGGGCUAAUACCGGAUAAUAUUUUGAACUGCAUGGUUCAAAAUUGAAAGGCGGCUUCGGCUGUCACUUAUGGAUGGACCCGCGUCGCAUUAGCUAGUUGGUGAGGUAACGGCUCACCAAGGCAACGAUGCGUAGCCGACCUGAGAGGGUGAUCGGCCACACUGGGACUGAGACACGGCCCAGACUCCUACGGGAGGCAGCAGUAGGGAAUCUUCCGCAAUGGACGAAAGUCUGACGGAGCAACGCCGCGUGAGUGAUGAAGGCUUUCGGGUCGUAAAACUCUGUUGUUAGGGAAGAACAAGUGCUAGUUGAAUAAGCUGGCACCUUGACGGUACCUAACCAAAAAGCCCCGGCUAACUUCGUGCCAGCCGCCGCAGUAA
RNAcentral lists this ribosomal RNA (515 nucleotides) under uncultured bacterium. RNAcentral's name for it is "partial 16S ribosomal RNA". It matches the Rfam family "Bacterial small subunit ribosomal RNA", at positions 28 to 523 of the family's 1533-position model. The record is from RNAcentral.